AAUUACCCAAUCCUGACACAGGGAGGUAGUGACAAGAAAUAACAAUACAGGGCUUAAAGUCUUGUAAUUGGAAUGAUGGGAAUCUAAACCCUUCCCAGAGUAUCAAUUGGAGGGCAAGUCUGGUGCCAGCAGCCGCGGUAAUUCCAGCUCCAAUAGCGUAUAUUAAAGUUGUUGCAGUUAAGAAGCUCGUAGUUGAAUUUCUGCCUUGUCAUUAAUCUCGCUUCCGAGCGUUUUUUUAUUGACUUGGCAUCUUCUGGAUUUGGUGCCUUCGGGUACUAUUUUCCAGGAUUUACUUUGAGAAAACUAGAGUGUUUCAAACAGGCAUUCGCCUUGAAUACUACAGCAUGGAAUAAUGAAGUAGGACUUUGGUUCUAUUUUGUUGGUUAUUGAGCCAGGGUAAUGGUUAAUAGGAGCAGUUGGGGGCAUUCGUAUUUAA
This 436-nucleotide ribosomal RNA is filed under the name Babesia microti. Its description in RNAcentral is "SSU rRNA". It matches the Rfam family "Eukaryotic small subunit ribosomal RNA", at positions 439 to 901 of the family's 1831-position model. The record is from RNAcentral. Lineage: Eukaryota; Apicomplexa; Aconoidasida; Piroplasmida; Babesiidae.